Molecule: long non-coding RNA, 2038 nt
Organism: Oreochromis aureus
Lineage: Eukaryota; Metazoa; Chordata; Actinopteri; Cichliformes; Cichlidae
Source: Ensembl
CAAGACUGACCAGGCGAACGGCAGCGUGUCUCCUGUGUUCACUUUCUCUCCUGUUUUACAGGAUCGUAAUCUGGCUACGCGCCCAUCAUAGUGGGGCCUGUAACACAUGCAACAUGCAGCACCUGUACAUAAAAGGCCAAAGCAGUCUGUACUUCCUCAGGAGGCUGAGGUCCUUCAACAUCUGCAGGAAGCUCCUGAGGAUGUUUUAUCAGUUGGGUUUGUGGAGAUGAGUGUGAAGAUCCAAACAAUCCCUGUCAGUGAUGGAGAAGCUUUGAUGAAUAAAUUUGGUAAAAAGUUCACCAGCAUGAAGGAAAUGAAGUUCUCAAACUUUCCUAAAGAGGACCCCAGCACGCCUGCUUAAAGAAAAGGACUGUUUGCAAACAUCUCAGAGAGAGGAGACACCAGCAUCUGAACAGAGACUCAAACCAGCAACCUGCAGGUCCCUGCUUGGCUGCUCCAGUUUUCUCCUCACUCAUGUUGCCCACCAGUGAUUUCUAGCUGCCCACCCACACAGCAGGCUAGAAUAUGCGCUGAGCCUCAGCACCAUGGUUGCAAUACUUGGACAUGUUUUCUUUAUUAAAUAAUGAACCAGACCCCAAAAAGUAAACAGCUGUUAUUGCUAGGCAACGGGAGCAGCAUUUGGUGAUGCAGCACCUGACAUUCCUGACCAUGUGGGCGGAGCAUGCGUGAAAUGGAAUGUUUAGUAGAACUGUGCAACACAAGCACUUAGUUACGGCAUUUUUCAUUGUAUCCAGACACAGUUAGAGACACAUCUACAGCAGCAUCUCUGUGCAGGACAAACGACAGUUGAAGAUAUAAAACAUCAAAAACUUCACUUCUCUACAGUACGUUGGUUCCUUUGUUUAAAAGGCCAAAAUGAAUCAAGGGAGAUCGAGAAGAGGAUUGGCGAGUGCUUCACCAUACAGUACAGUGAAGUCUGAGCUGACUAACCUACGAGAGGAAUUUCAAAUAAUACAGGCUGAAAAUGUCAAAUUAAAAGAAGAGGCAGAAAAAUCAAGAGGAGAAGCUAAAAAUUCAAAGUUUGAAACUGAAGUAGUAUUGCAGGAAUUACUGCAUGUGGGUCUAAAACUUAAAGGAGAGAAGAUGGAAAAACAACGGGCAGAAAAUGAGAAUGAAAAUAUAAAGAAAGAACUGUUGGAAGCUGAAAAAGCAUUGGAGGAAGAGAAAACCACAGCACAAGAAGCCAAAAAUAAAUAUCAAACUGCAAAGAAGGAGGCAGAAAAUGUGAUGCAGGAAUUACAGGAGGUGCAGAAAGAUUUUGAAAAGGAAAAGAGGAAAAUGCAGUUGGCAACACAAGAAGCUGAAAAUGUAAUGGCUGAAGCUGAAAUAGUUAGGAAGGAAUUCCUGCAUGUAAAGCAACAACUUGAAGAGGAGAAAAAACGUAAACAUGAGGCAGAAAAUGAGAUUGAAAAUAUGAAGAAAGAAUUGUUGGAAGCUCAAAAAGUGUUGGAGGAAGAGAAAAUGAAAAUACAGGAAGCAAAGAAAGAAAUGGAAAAUACAAAUAGUUACACUCAAAACAUGAAGAAGAAGUUGCUGGAAACACAGGAAGCAAUAGAAAAAGAGACACGUGGAAAAUGGGAGGCAAAACAGGAAAGUGAAACUCUGAAGAAGGAACUGAUGAAAGUGCAAGAAGAACUUGCAGAAGAGAAAACUGAGGUGAAGGUAUUCAAGAAAGAAAUGACAGGCUCUGCGAGGACCAAGAAAGACUGCAAAGAUGCACUUAAAGAAAUACGAAAGCACAAAAAGGAAGCUAAAGAGCUCCUCAAACAGAAAGUGAAACUGGCCAAACGGCAGCUGAAAGAAAAAUUUAAAGACGCCGAGGAGCAGCUAAACAAAACGUUGAAAGAGCUGAAGGCAAAAGAAAAAGAAAAGAAAGCCGAGGAGACGAGGGGAUUCUGGAGCAGACUGCUGAGAAAGAACUGACCCAGCAGCAUCAAGUUUAAGGAGAUCAACAGUUUCGUCCUCCUUCCCCCUCUCUCCACCUUUCUUUCACCCCAUCCUUCUUCUUCUCUCUCUC